GUUUUAAUAAUUUAAUAAAAAUAUUGAUUUUGUAAAUCAGAAUUGGUUAAAUAAACCUUAAAACA
RNAcentral lists this transfer RNA (65 nucleotides) under Singapora shinshana. Its description in RNAcentral is "tRNA-Thr". The record is from RNAcentral. Lineage: Eukaryota; Metazoa; Arthropoda; Insecta; Hemiptera; Cicadellidae.